This 21-nucleotide non-coding RNA is filed under the name Caenorhabditis elegans. Lineage: Eukaryota; Metazoa; Nematoda; Chromadorea; Rhabditida; Rhabditidae. The record is from RNAcentral.
UGUACUUCUCCGUCAGAAAGU